RNAcentral lists this ribosomal RNA (301 nucleotides) under uncultured bacterium. RNAcentral's name for it is "partial 16S ribosomal RNA". It matches the Rfam family "Bacterial small subunit ribosomal RNA", at positions 509 to 809 of the family's 1533-position model. The record is from RNAcentral.
CAGUAGCCGCGGUAACACGAAGGGUGCAAGCGUUAAUCGGAAUUACUGGGCGUAAAGCGUGCGUAGGCGGUGAGUUAAGUCUGCUGUGAAAUCCCCGGGCUCAACCUGGGAACUGCAUUUGUGACUGGCAAGCUAGAGUGUGGCAGAGGGGGGUGGAAUUCCGCGUGUAGCAGUGAAAUGCGUAGAUAUGCGGAGGAACACCGAUGGCGAAGGCAGCCCCCUGGGCCAACACUGACGCUCAUGCACGAAAGCGUGGGGAGCAAACAGGAUUAGAUACCCCUGUAGUCCCUGUCUCUUAUAU